GCCUGCAGCACAGGGGAGUGAUGCUGGAGAGAAGCCGGGACAGAGGCUGGGACCGAAGCUGGAGCUACGGGGGAGCCAAAAGGUUGGAAAUGUAGGAGUACGGGGCAUGGAUUCUCUUUUCAGGGCUUUUAAAGUGUCUUAAAUUGCACUGAAAGACAAGCCAAGGAUAAAACAAAUUCAAGAGUGAUUCUCCUUCUCGCUUCCUCAGAAAACAAAUCUCAAACUUAAUGUGUGUGCAUACACGUGCCAAUUCAUAGAUGUCAUAGACAUUAGAGCUGGAAGAGACCUUGGAAGAUCAUCGAGUCCAGCCCCCUGCCCCAUGGGGCAGGAAGUCAGCUUGGAUCAAAGGAUCCCAGCAAGAUAAGCAUCCAAAUGUUCAUGAACAAGUUACAUUCAUGCCUGUUACAGUCAUUAAAUAUGCAAAUAUUAACAUAUAAAGAGUGCCACCUAGUGGGACAGGAAAAUAUGCAGCACUUUUAUACAUUUGUAUAAAUGAAUAAAGUUAUUGUUGUUCAUAGCAAAUUGAUUCUUGAUUACAUAGCUCUUAAUACAAGCCCAAUGAGAGGAUAAGAGCAA
Molecule: long non-coding RNA, 576 nt
Organism: Alligator mississippiensis (American alligator)
Lineage: Eukaryota; Metazoa; Chordata; Crocodylia; Alligatoridae
Exons: 3
Source: RefSeq, a predicted model, not a curated record